Molecule: ribosomal RNA, 253 nt
Filed under: uncultured bacterium
Lineage: Bacteria
Description: partial 16S ribosomal RNA
Rfam family: Bacterial small subunit ribosomal RNA
Source: RNAcentral
UACGGAGGGUGCAAGCGUUAUCCGGAUUCACUGGGUUUAAAGGGUGCGUAGGUGGGUUGGUAAGUCAGUGGUGAAAUCCCCGAGCUUAACUUGGGAACUGCCAUUGAUACUAUCAGUCUUGAAUACCGUGGAGGUCAGCGGAAUAUGUCAUGUAGCGGUGAAAUGCUUAGAUAUGACAUAGAACACCAAUUGCGAAGGCAGCUGGCUACACGGAUAUUGACACUGAGGCACGAAAGCGUGGGGAUCAAACAGG